GCCUGCACGAAGUCGGAAUUGCUAGUAAUCGUAGGUCAGCAUACUACGGUGAAUACGUUCCCGGGCCUUGUACACACCGCCCGUCAAACCAUGAGAGUUGGCAACACCCGAAGUCGGUAGUCUAACCGCAAGGAGGACGCCGCCGAAGGUGGGGUUGAUGAUUAGGGUUAAGUCGUAACAAGGUAGC
Molecule: ribosomal RNA, 187 nt
Filed under: uncultured bacterium
Lineage: Bacteria
Description: partial 16S ribosomal RNA
Rfam family: Bacterial small subunit ribosomal RNA
Source: RNAcentral